This 301-nucleotide small RNA is filed under the name Pan troglodytes (chimpanzee). RNAcentral describes it as "processed transcript". Lineage: Eukaryota; Metazoa; Chordata; Mammalia; Primates; Hominidae. The record is from RNAcentral.
GGCCAUCUGCAUGGAACUUCUCACCAAACAGGGCUGGAGCAGUGCCUACUCCAUAGAGUCAGUGAUCAUGCAGAUCAGUGCCACACUGGUGAAGGGGAAAGCACGAGUGCAGUUUGGAGCCAACAAAGUAAGGAUCCUGGUCCUGGGGCUGGUGGGGCUGGGUGGAGCCAAGUACACUUGGGGCCACUAGCAGGCCAAGGCUGCCUUCUUUAGAGGAAUGAGCAUAAGGCCCCCGGGCUGGUGGCAUUGGAUGAGAGGGCCUAGGGUGCCCACAAUGGAACAACUGUGCCUUGGCCCCUAG